This is a long non-coding RNA of Phyllostomus discolor (pale spear-nosed bat), 848 nucleotides long. RefSeq lists it as uncharacterized. The transcript has 2 exons. Lineage: Eukaryota; Metazoa; Chordata; Mammalia; Chiroptera; Phyllostomidae. The record is from RefSeq and is a predicted model, not a curated record.
AGUGGGGGGUGUGUGAGAGACAACGACAUGUUGAUAUAUCUCUUCCUCUUUAUCCUUCUCUUCUCCUCUCUCUAAAAAUAAAUAAAAUCUUAAAAAGUUCAGUCUUUUAUUGAGAAGCACUUUCAUUUUCCUCAAAUAUUCCAACAUGUUAUUUCCUCACCAAGAGUGGAUUCGUUUAAGCCAGAAACAAUUUUAGAGUGUUCCGUUGCAGGUUUGUGUUCUGGAUGCUGCAGCCCGCCCUGGGUUUCCCUGUAUGCCCGGAACACUGUACGGCGCCCAGGCCAUUGCGAGAUACGGCAAAGGCAGAUUCCAGAGUGUUCUCAGUCAACGGGAAUUGAAGGGCUCCCAACGGCAGUCACUUGCACCCAACACCUUACACCCAAGAGUGGGCCUCAGAAUUAAAGGGCUUUGGAUGCCCUGUUGGUUAGGAGAAUAAACUGAGAGUAUCAAUUAAGAAUUAAGACACAGUGCCCCCUUGAAGCUACCCCAAGCAGCGGAGAUUGGGACUGUUUUGGAACCUGAUGACAAAAUAUGGUGAAGAAAAUUUGAUUAUGCCUGAUUACGUGGGGUCUCCACUUUCCUUUUUUUCCCCUCUGAAUCUUGCAGAUUUCUACCACAGGUAAGGAUUUGCCUUGGAAGGAGGGCCCUGGUUGAGAGGCGAGGAAGCUGAAGGAAGGAGUGUCUGUCCAAGUCGCAGGCACUUCAGAAACACAAAGAAGAAUCAUUAGAUUACAGAUAAUGCCGUGGGCUGAGGCAUGCUCCCCCGUCCUGUUCGUGUGCUGAAAUCCUAACUCCUGGUGCCUCUGAACGUGACUGUAUCUGGAAGCAGAGUCUUUAAAGAGGUGAGU